UGGCUCAGAACGAACGCUGGCGGCAGGCUUAACACAUGCAAGUCGAACGCCCCUUUCGGGGGGAGUGGCAGACGGGUGAGUAACACGUGGGAACGUACCCUUUUGUUCGGAAUAACCCAGGGAAACUUGGGCUAAUACCGGAUACGCCCUUACGGGGAAAGAUUUAUCGCAGAAGGAUCGGCCCGCGUCUGAUUAGCUAGUUGGUGAGGUAAAGGCUCACCAAGGCGACGAUCAGUAGCUGGUCUGAGAGGAUGAUCAGCCACACUGGGACUGAGACACGGCCCAGACUCCUACGGGAGGCAGCAGUGGGGAAUAUUGGACAAUGGGCGCAAGCCUGAUCCAGCCAUGCCGCGUGAGUGAUGAAGGCCUUAGGGUUGUAAAGCUCUUUCGGCCGGGACGAUAAUGACGGUACCCGCAGAA
Molecule: ribosomal RNA, 420 nt
Filed under: unidentified bacterium TMB837
Lineage: Bacteria
Description: bacterial SSU rRNA
Rfam family: Bacterial small subunit ribosomal RNA
Source: RNAcentral